GCCAAGCACAGUGGUGUGUGCCUGUAAUCCCAGCUACUUGGGAGGCUCAGGCAGAAGGAUCACUUGAGCCCAGGAGUUCUGGACUGUAGUACACUAUGAUCACACCUGUGAAUAGGCACUGCACUCCAGCCUGGGCAAUGUAGCAAGACCCUCCCCC
RNAcentral lists this non-coding RNA (157 nucleotides) under Pan troglodytes (chimpanzee). Lineage: Eukaryota; Metazoa; Chordata; Mammalia; Primates; Hominidae. The record is from Rfam by way of RNAcentral.